RNAcentral lists this small RNA (27 nucleotides) under Bombyx mori (domestic silkworm). RNAcentral's name for it is "ovarian small RNA-14142". The record is from RNAcentral. Lineage: Eukaryota; Metazoa; Arthropoda; Insecta; Lepidoptera; Bombycidae.
CGAAUCAUCAUGCCGCCUAAGACUAGU